RNAcentral lists this unclassified non-coding RNA (2852 nucleotides) under Neodiprion pinetum (white pine sawfly). Its description in RNAcentral is "centrosomal protein of 104 kDa, transcript variant X2". Lineage: Eukaryota; Metazoa; Arthropoda; Insecta; Hymenoptera; Diprionidae. The record is from RNAcentral.
GCAUCGCAGCGACGUACGACGGGUUGCGUACUGAACGGAACGAAAGGGGGAUGAUUGGCCUCAACGGCGUACCAGUCAGCCCCAAGUUGCGCUUUGAAAUGGCUGUGCGUUUUCAAAUUUCCUGUUUUGAUUGAUAAAUUCGUUAUCUAUUUUUAACUCUUUUUUCUUUUCGAACCGUAUAAGUUGUCGCAGUGGCUUAUAAAGUGCUUGUCUCACGGUUCGCCCGGAACCCUCACUCAUCCGUCCAUAAUGCCGAGGAAAAUAGGAUUCACCGUUGUUUAUGCCACGAGUGAGGAAGAUCGACACUCUUCCUUGGAGCUUAACGUCCACGGACCGACGGUGCGCGGGUGGCAGAGCGGUCGAAGAUGUGGAUACCCUCAAGAACUCGUUCUUAGACUUCACGGGCCGACCAAGCUCUCGAGAAUACAAGUUUUGGCUCAUCAAUACCUCAUACCGGAGAAAUUGGAGAUAUGGACGUCACAGGAGACGAAUGGUACAAAUUCAACGGACUUCAAUUAUCUGGGGUACAUUACGUUGUCCGAUAACGCAUCGACUCUAUACAAGAGCAGGGAGUUGAAGAGCGUCGCUCUUCCCGAAACCGACGCUGCCACUUUGAAACUCAAGCUGCAUAAACCGCACAAGAAUGCCCACAAUGUUCACGAGCAGGUGGGUCUAAUAGCGAUAAACAUCCUUGGUGAACCCUACGGCCAGGAAUACUGCGGUCAAGGUGAUGCACCUUACAACCCGCACUACACUUCACCCUAUGAUGACCUCGCUUUUGAAAUGUACGUUGACCGUGAAGUGGCGAAAAUUAUACGACAAAUGGAAACGAAAAAGCUGCAGGCGGCUGAAGAAGAAAGAUUUGAAUACGCGUCAAAGUUAAAAGUGGCUAUGGAGAAUCUAAGGAAAGCCGGGGAACGUCUUGGUAAAUAUGAAUUGGAAAAGAAAUAUGCUAUCGCACUGGAAGAUUACGAUAAGGCAAAAGUGAAGAAGGCUCAAGCGCAGCAGUACAGACAGCAGGUCUAUCAAAGUUUAGAAAUUGAAGAUUUACUCGAAGUUCAUGGCCCAUUGGAAAAAAAUGACGAGUCCAUCAUAGAAGGGAAAGAGCCGGUGUCAGCUGAUGCAAUUGUAUCCGCAACGGCAGCUCAAGUGGUUGAAGACAUUACUUCGCCACCAAGACUAGUCGUUCCGCCAAGCCGAGACGGUGCCCUGUCUCCUACCGGUCCUGCCCAUCAACAACCACCGUCACCGCUUCAUCAAAAGCCUAGUAGUCCGGAGGUGCUGGAUCACCCGACAAGUGGUGUAUUAGAAAGAACAAAUGGUUGCACCAAGGGCUCUCUCAGAAGAAAAACCAAGUCAGCUGGACCAAUGCUUCGAUCCAGCUACGAGGCUUACGAGGAACGAACUAUACCUGCGCUAAGGCACUCACAUACAAACGAAUUUACGAGAGAAUGUCACUUGGACAGUACAGACAGUACAAAAGUAACAUCGAAACUUAAUGACAGAGAGAAGAAACAGGCUGCGCUACCAAUAUCCGUCUUUGGAAUGGAAAUGGUCGAAAAAUUUUAUUCCAAGCAAUUUACUGAUAAAGAAGAGGGAUUAAUGCAACUCAAAGAGGAAUUGCGGACAUUUGAUUCUGAAGUUUCAAAAAAUUCAGCAAACAAAACAGCAAGGGCGGCUAUUUUGCUGCUGCACAGAGCGCUUAGAGACAAAGUUUUCAGUGUCUACAGUCUAGCAGCUCAGUUAAUCAGGGUAUUCUUUACCGAGUUUGCUGUGGGUCGAGUAUCAUCUGCUGAAAUUGCUCGCAGUGUAGAUCGAUUGCUGCCAGAGCUCCUGACAAAAUCAGGCGAUACUACUCCAAGGAUCCAUAACAUGGCUGUUCACACUAUUCUCAGUAUGGCAGACUGCAAGUGUGUCAGAGAACUGCAUAUUAUACCGGUCCAUCUUAGCAGGCCUGUGAACAGUAGUACGCAUCAAAGAUUAGCUCUGAGUAGACUAGAAAUGGUCGAGCAGCUAAUAUUGAAUCACGGAAUAUCUACGGACAAACAGAGCGGUUUGACUUGCCGAACAUUGUCGGAGUUUGGCCUGUCUGGACUGCAUCAUCCAGCAGAAGCUGUGAGAAAAGUAUCGGAAAGAGUAUUGGUAUUGGUUUAUAAAGUGAAUCCAAGGCUUGUGAGAAAGCAGCUACCACCAGACGAUGAUAUCACUAGGAGAAAUCUCCUUUACAGACAAUUAUUCCAUGAAUUUGAUCUAGUCGAUCUUCAGAGAAAGAAAGAUGUAGAAACUAGUCAGAAAACCACGACGCCAGUUCACACAAAGCUUGUAGAAAAUAACGAAGCUAGCAUUGCUAAAUCUCCGCCAAGGUCUAGUCCCGUUGUUAGUACUAGUAGUUCUAUCAGCAUUACAUCACCGUCGGACAACAGCAGCGAUCACAAAGGGGACAAGAUGUGCAUAUUUUGUUUGUCGAAAGGUCAGGUAUAUUCAGAGGAAGGUUUGAAUAUACAUUAUUGGAGGACCUGUCCAAUGUUGACGAGAUGCGAGGCUUGUAAACAAGUUGUCGAAGUUUCGUACGUCAACCUACAUUUACUAAAACAUGCGAAUGAUCAAAACAAUUUCUUUACCAGACGAAUGCGAUAUGAGAAAUAAUUACAGCAAAUGUGAUACAUGUAAACAAGCAGUACACAUAGAAGACUUGAAGCGACAUUCAAAAAGUGACAAAUGUACUAAGCCAAUAGAAGGAUGCGAAAGAUGUCCACUAUGUCAGUUACAUAUUAAUCGGAAUAAAUGGCGAGAUCAUCUCAUGGGAGAUCAACCCUGUACAAAUAAUCCGCGGAAUAAGACAAACAAAAGCU